CAAAGGUCCGAAACAGAUGAAGCCCUGCUUGCAGGGUGGAUUAGUGGCGAACGGGUGAGUAACACGUGAGUAACCUGCCCCCGACUCUGGGAUAAGCCCGGGAAACUGGGUCUAAUACCGGAUAUGACUUCCUACUGCAUGGUGGGUUGUUGAAAGAUUUAUCGGUGGGGGAUGGACUCGCGGCCUAUCAGCUUGUUGGUGAGGUAAUGGCUCACCAAGGCGACGACGGGUAGCCGGCCUGAGAGGGUGACCGGCCACACUGGGACUGAGACACGGCCCAGACUCCUACGGGAGGCAGCAGUGGGGAAUAUUGCACAAUGGGCGGAAGCCUGAUGCAGCGACGCCGCGUGAGGGAUGACGGCCUUCGGGUUGUAAACCUCUUUCAGUAGGGAAGAAGCGAAAGUGACGGUACCUGCAGAAGAAGCGCCGGCUAACUACGUGCCAGCAGCCGCGGUAAUACGUAGGGCGCAAGCGUUAUCCGGAUUUAUUGGGCGUAAAGAGCUCGUAGGCGGUUUGUCGCGUCUGCCGUGAAAGUCCGAGGCUCAACCUCGGAUCUGCGGUGGGUACGGGCAGACUAGAGUGAUGUAGGGGAGACUGGAAUUCCUGGUGUAGCGGUGAAAUGCGCAGAUAUCACGAGGAACACCGAUGGCGAAGGCAGGUCUCUGGGCAUUUACUGACUCUCAGGAGCGAAAGCAUGGGG
RNAcentral lists this ribosomal RNA (700 nucleotides) under Arthrobacter sp. W1(2015). RNAcentral's name for it is "bacterial SSU rRNA". It matches the Rfam family "Bacterial small subunit ribosomal RNA", at positions 58 to 766 of the family's 1533-position model. Lineage: Bacteria; Bacillati; Actinomycetota; Actinomycetes; Micrococcales; Micrococcaceae. The record is from RNAcentral.